CUCAGAACAAGGACCUGGAAUUGAUGUACAGAUAAAUAGCAUCUUUGUUGAAGUGGAUGUCGCUUGAAUUCUUUGAAAAUCUUUGGAGAAAACAGAAAGAAACUGAAACGGCAUAAAUGAAUUAAACCAGAAAAUUCCCCAUGGCUUCUUCAGAAGACUCUAUUGCUCUGAAUAAGGAAUUCCACCAGCACUGGAAGAAAAACGCUGCCUCCCCCCCAAAUUUUUAGCUUUCAACACAUAACUGAAAAACUCCCAGAAAGCUGAUCUAUCCAAGUUAAUCAUCACGGAGGAAUUGCAGUCUCAUUGAGUACUAAAGCAAAUCUUUCUUCUAUGUGAGCCAAAGAAAAGAAAAAACAACCUGUCAAAUACCUAUAAAGAGAUGGCUAUCAUCAUAUGGAAAUGUGAAGAACUGCUAUGUGGCACAUUCAUGAUCUAAAUGGGAAAGAAUUAAGUGUCAUGAUGUUCCAGAAGGCCUUAUAACAGAGUAAACAAGGGGGAAAAUUGUAACAGCUUGUCACCUGUUCCUGCACACUAGACUUCAGUGUAGUUACUGUAAAAAAUAUCCACGGAAAAUAUGCAGACAGUUCUUUGAAAAGCCCCAAAAUUAUGUGUAGGGGCUAAGACCAAAGAAGGAAAAAAGAAGCUUUUUUAUACUCACUCUCCACAACCCAUUGAUAAGUCUAUUAGAAGAGUAGCAGUUGAAUGUGAAUUUAUGUUUUGAACCAUCAUUUGGCAGA
RNAcentral lists this long non-coding RNA (737 nucleotides) under Suricata suricatta (meerkat). Its description in RNAcentral is "lncRNA (ENSSSUG00005023081.1)". The record is from RNAcentral. Lineage: Eukaryota; Metazoa; Chordata; Mammalia; Carnivora; Herpestidae.